UACGAAGGGGGCUAGCGUUGCUCGGAAUCACUGGGCGUAAAGCGCACGUAGGCGGGUUCUUAAGUCAGGGGUGAAAUCCUGGAGCUCAACUCCAGAACUGCCUUUGAUACUGGGAAUCUCGAGUCCGGGAGAGGUGAGUGGAAUUCCUAGUGUAGAGGUGAAAUUCGUAGAUAUUAGGAAGAACACCAGUGGCGAAGGCGGCUCACUGGCCCGGUACUGACGCUGAGGCGCGAAAGCGUGGGGAGCAAACAGG
RNAcentral lists this ribosomal RNA (253 nucleotides) under uncultured bacterium. RNAcentral describes it as "partial 16S ribosomal RNA". It matches the Rfam family "Bacterial small subunit ribosomal RNA", at positions 524 to 776 of the family's 1533-position model. The record is from RNAcentral.